Nematostella vectensis (starlet sea anemone) is the source of this 456-nucleotide long non-coding RNA. RefSeq lists it as uncharacterized. The transcript is spliced from 2 exons. Lineage: Eukaryota; Metazoa; Cnidaria; Anthozoa; Actiniaria; Edwardsiidae. The record is from RefSeq and is a predicted model, not a curated record.
AAGACCAUACGAGAGAGUGAAAACAAGCGCAGACGGAAAUUGGAUGUUUUUCAACAGUAGAAAUCCUAAUUUCAGCGAUAUAGAAUCUGAGGAUUCUGAAUUCUUCUUACAUCCCUGGCAUCAAUCUUUUGGGGAACUUCAAUAAAAAAUUGACAGACUUGAACAACUCUAAGACAGGCAAGCCACUAGAUUAACUAGACAAGAAAUGGCUGGUGGAAUACAACAAACAAGCCCUCAAGGAUUUUUACAGCCUAACUACAAGGGAGACUGUUUCUUCCAUGCUGUUGCCUUCAAAGAGUUUAGCUAAAAUUGAACUAUGGAAUUUUAGCAUGAAAAGGUAACACAACCAGCAGCUUGUGUGUGUACAGCAAUAAGAGUUUGUAAGAUUUGAAGAAGGCUUAUCGAUAUGCUUUUUCCCGUUUUUAUUGAAUCUAUUAAAAAGCAACUAUAAUUCAA